RNAcentral lists this small nuclear RNA (288 nucleotides) under Sorex araneus (European shrew). RNAcentral describes it as "7SK RNA (ENSSARG00000018099.1)". It matches the Rfam family "7SK RNA". Rfam says of the family: 7SK was discovered as an abundant small nuclear RNA in the mid-70s but a possible function has only recently been suggested. Two independent studies have found that 7SK RNA binds the CDK9/cyclin T complex (known as elongation factor P-TEFb). P-TEFb activates transcription by phosphorylating the C-terminal domain of RNA polymerase II. Lineage: Eukaryota; Metazoa; Chordata; Mammalia; Eulipotyphla; Soricidae. The record is from RNAcentral.
GGAUGUGAGAGCGAUCUGGCUUCGACAUCUAUCACCCCAUUGAUUGCCAGGGUUAAUUCGGCUGAUCUGACUGGCUAGGCGGGUGUCCCCUUGCUCCCUCACCGCUCCAUGCGGCACUCGGUCGAAGAGGACAGCCUUCCCCAAUAGAGAUGGACCAGUCUUCAGUUGAGGGUAUACAAGUAGCUGCACUCCCCUGCUAAAACCUCCAAACAAGCUCUCAAUUCACCAAGAAAGUAUAUAAUUUUAACACACAUCUAUUGUUUAUAUGAUGCUUUCAGUGUAACAAAU